UACUACCUUAUACAGGGAAGUAGCCCAGAGAAAUUUGGAUUAAUGCCCACUAGCAUUACGACUUGGCAUCAAGAUGUAAUUAAAGUUCCAACGGUAUAAGAUGAGCAUGCGUCCCAUUAGUUAGUUGGUAAGGUAACGGCUUACCAAGACGAUGAUGGGUAGGGGUCCUGAGAGGGAGAUCCCCCACACUGGUACUGAGACACGGACCAGACUCCUACGGGAGGCAGCAGUGAGGAAUAUUGGACAAUGGGCGCAAGCCUGAUCCAGCCAUGCCGCGUGCAGGAAGAAGCAUCUAUGGUGUGUAAACUGCUUUUGUACAGGAAGAAACAUCCCGACGUGUCGGGACUUGACGGUACUGUAAGAAUAAGGAUCGGCUAACUCCGUG
This 385-nucleotide ribosomal RNA is filed under the name uncultured bacterium. RNAcentral's name for it is "bacterial SSU rRNA". It matches the Rfam family "Bacterial small subunit ribosomal RNA", at positions 124 to 507 of the family's 1533-position model. The record is from RNAcentral.